UACGGGAGGCAGCAGUGGGGAAUAUUGCACAAUGGGCGAAAGCCUGAUGCAGCUAUGCCGCGUGUAUGAAGAAGGCCUUAGGGUUGUAAAGUACUUUCAUCGGGGAGGAAAAAACAAAACUAAUAAUUUUAUUUCUUGACGUUACCCGAAAAAGAAGCACCGGCUAACUCCGUGCCAGCAGCCGCGGUAAUACGGAGGGUGCUAGCGUUAAUCGGAAUUACUGGGCGUAAAGGGCACGCAGGCGGUUAAUUAAGUUGGAUGUGAAAUCCCCGGGCUUAACCUGGGAAUGGCAUUCAAGACUGGUUAGCUAGAGUCUUGUAGAGGGGGGUUAGAAUUCCAUGUGUAGCGGUGAAAUGCGUAGAGAUGUGGAGGAAUACCGGUGGCGAAGGCGGCCCCUGGACAAAGACUGACGCUCAUGUGCGAAAGCGUGGGGAGCAAACAGGGAUUAGAUACC
Molecule: ribosomal RNA, 454 nt
Filed under: uncultured bacterium
Lineage: Bacteria
Description: bacterial SSU rRNA
Rfam family: Bacterial small subunit ribosomal RNA
Source: RNAcentral